This 243-nucleotide ribosomal RNA is filed under the name Vibrio alginolyticus. RNAcentral's name for it is "partial 23S ribosomal RNA". It matches the Rfam family "Bacterial large subunit ribosomal RNA", at positions 2688 to 2925 of the family's 2925-position model. The record is from RNAcentral. Lineage: Bacteria; Pseudomonadati; Pseudomonadota; Gammaproteobacteria; Vibrionales; Vibrionaceae.
AGGACCGGAGUGGACGAACCUCUGGUGUUCGGGUUGUGUCGCCAGACGCAUUGCCCGGUAGCUAAGUUCGGGAUCGAUAACCGCUGAAAGCAUCUAAGCGGGAAGCGAGCCUUGAGAUGAGUUCUCCCUGAUACUUUAAGUAUCCUAAAGGGUUGUCGUAGACUACGACGUUGAUAGGCAGGGUGUGUAAGCGUUGUGAGGCGUUGAGCUAACCUGUACUAAUUGCCCGUGAGGCUUAACCAU